UGCCAGCCGCCGCGGUAAUACGUAGGGGGCAAGCGUUACCCGGAAUCACUGGGCGUAAAGGGUGCGUAGGUGGUUCAACAAGUCAGAAGUGAAAGGCGUUGGCUCAACCAAUGUAAGCUUUUGAAACUGUUGAACUUGAGUGCAGGAGAGGUAAGUGGAAUUCCUAGUGUAGAGGUGAAAUUCGUAGAUAUAUUGAGGAACACCAGUGGCGAAGGCGGCUAACUGGACCGGAACUGACGCUGAGGAGCGAAAGCGUGGGGAGCAAACAGGAUUAGAUA
RNAcentral lists this ribosomal RNA (278 nucleotides) under uncultured bacterium. Its description in RNAcentral is "partial 16S ribosomal RNA". It matches the Rfam family "Bacterial small subunit ribosomal RNA", at positions 506 to 784 of the family's 1533-position model. The record is from RNAcentral.